GGUUAAGCGACUAAGCGUACACGGUGGAUGCCCUGGCAGUCAGAGGCGAUGAAGGACGUGCUAAUCUGCGAAAAGCGUCGGUAAGGUGAUAUGAACCGUUACAGCCGGCGAUGUCCGAAUGGGGAAACCCAGUGCAAUUCGUUGCACUAUCGUUAACUGAAUACAUAGGUUAACGAGGCGAACCGGGGGAACUGAAACAUCUAAGUACCCCGAGGAAAAGAAAUCAACCGAGAUUCCCCCAGUAGCGGCGAGCGAACGGGGAGCAGCCCAGAGUCUGAAUCAGCUUGUGUGUUAGUGGAACGGUCUGGAAAGUCCGACGGUACAGGGUGAUAGUCCCGUACACCAAAAUGCACAGGCUGUGAACUCGAAGAGUAGGGCGGGACACGUGGUAUCCUGUCUGAAUAUGGGGGGACCAUCCUCCAAGGCUAAAUACUCCUGACUGACCGAUAGUGAACCAGUACCGUGAGGGAAAGGCGAAAAGAACCCCGGCGAGGGGAGUGAAAAAGAACCUGAAACCGUGUACGUACAAGCAGUGGGAGCACCUUCGGGUGUGACUGCGUACCUUUUGUAUAAUGGGUCAGCGACUUAUAUUCUGUAGCAAGGUUAACCGUAUAGGGGAGCCGCAGGGAAACCGAGUCUUAACUGGGCGUUAAGUUGCAGGGUAUAGACCCGAAACCCGGUGAUCUAGCCAUGGGCAGGUUGAAGGUUGGGUAACACUAACUGGAGGACCGAACCGACUAAUGUUGAAAAAUUAGCGGAUGACUUGUGGCUGGGGGUGAAAGGCCAAUCAAACCGGGAGAUAGCUGGUUCUCCCCGAAAGCUAUUUAGGUAGCGCCUCGUGAACUCAUCUUCGGGGGUAGAGCACUGUUUCGGCUAGGGGGUCAUCCCGACUUACCAACCCGAUGCAAACUACGAAUACCGAAGAAUGUUAUCACGGGAGACACACGGCGGGUGCUAACGUCCGUCGUGAAGAGGGAAACAACCCAGACCGCCAGCUAAGGUCCCAAAGUCAUGGUUAAGUGGGAAACGAUGUGGGAAGGCACAGACAGCCAGGAUGUUGGCUUAGAAGCAGCCAUCAUUUAAAGAAAGCGUAAUAGCUCACUGGUCGAGUCGGCCUGCGCGGAAGAUGUAACGGGGCUAAACCAUGCACCGAAGCUGCGGCAGCGACACUAUGUGUUGUUGGGUAGGGGAGCGUUCUGUAAGCCUGCGAAGGUGACCUGUGAGGGUUGCUGGAGGUAUCAGAAGUGCGAAUGCUGACAUAAGUAACGAUAAAGCGGGUGAAAAGCCCGCUCGCCGGAAGACCAAGGGUUCCUGUCCAACGUUAAUCGGGGCAGGGUGAGUCGACCCCUAAGGCGAGGCCGAAAGGCGUAGUCGAUGGGAAACAGGUUAAUAUUCCUGUACUUGGUGUUACUGCGAAGGGGGGACGGAGAAGGCUAUGUUAGCCGGGCGACGGUUGUCCCGGUUUAAGCAUGUAGGCUGGUUGUCCAGGCAAAUCCGGAUAAUCAAGGCUGAGGUGUGAUGACGAGGCACUACGGUGCUGAAGUAACAAAUGCCC
RNAcentral lists this ribosomal RNA (1555 nucleotides) under Pseudomonas aeruginosa. RNAcentral's name for it is "partial 23S ribosomal RNA". It matches the Rfam family "Bacterial large subunit ribosomal RNA", at positions 1 to 1602 of the family's 2925-position model. The record is from RNAcentral. Lineage: Bacteria; Pseudomonadati; Pseudomonadota; Gammaproteobacteria; Pseudomonadales; Pseudomonadaceae.